RNAcentral lists this long non-coding RNA (279 nucleotides) under Elaeis guineensis (African oil palm). RNAcentral's name for it is "long non-coding RNA (EGUI_LNC040756)". The record is from RNAcentral. Lineage: Eukaryota; Viridiplantae; Streptophyta; Magnoliopsida; Arecales; Arecaceae.
GGUGCUGCACUGUAAUUUCUGUAAUUCUCUUUUUUCAUGUUUUAGAGUCAUUUUAAGAGAAUCUCGAAAGAAAUAAAAUGAGUAGUCUUUUGUCAUACUUCUGUUUUACUCUUGCCAAUCUAAGAUAAUUUAAGUGGAUGAUAACCUUAAUCUGCUACCUUAAAUGUGAGAGAUUAUGGAGAAUAGUGAUCGAUGACUCACCCGAUAAGGCCAUGCCUGGGAGGCGACACAAAGUCUAUGAAGAUGUGCCACGUGGGCAUGUUUUGUUUUGCGAAGCAU